AUGUAGUUUGGAUCCCCCGCUCAGGACGAACGCUGGCGGCGUGCCUAAUACAUGCAAGUCGAGCGGACGGAAGGGAGCUUGCUCCCGGACGUCAGCGGCGGACGGGUGAGGAACACGUGGGCAAUCUGCCCAUCAGUCGGGAAUAACACUCGGAAACGGGUGCUAAUGCCGGAUAGGCAUCUUGGGGGCAUCCCUGGGAUGGGAAAGGCGCUAUGGCGCUGCUGAUGGAGGAGCCCGCGGCGCAUUAGCUGGUUGGCGGGGUAACGGCCCACCAAGGCGACGAUGCGUAGCCGACCUGAGAGGGUGACCGGCCACACUGGGACUGAGACACGGCCCAGACUCCUACGGGAGGCAGCAGUAGGGAAUCUUCCGCAAUGGGCGCAAGCCUGACGGAGCAACGCCGCGUGAGCGAAGAAGGCCUUCGGGUUGUAAAGCUCAGUCAAUCGGGAAGAGCGACCUAGGGAGGGAAUGCCCUAGGGGAGACGGUACCGAUGGAGGAAGCCCCGGCAACACG
Molecule: ribosomal RNA, 514 nt
Filed under: Alicyclobacillus sp. NCHUali11
Lineage: Bacteria; Bacillati; Bacillota; Bacilli; Caryophanales; Alicyclobacillaceae
Description: bacterial SSU rRNA
Rfam family: Bacterial small subunit ribosomal RNA
Source: RNAcentral